This 417-nucleotide long non-coding RNA is filed under the name Homo sapiens (human). Its description in RNAcentral is "non-protein coding lnc-ENOPH1-1:1". Lineage: Eukaryota; Metazoa; Chordata; Mammalia; Primates; Hominidae. The record is from RNAcentral.
GGAGCCUUUCCUUCACUGGCCCGCCUGCUAUGACGAUCAUGUACAGCUGCAUUGCUAAUGGCCGAGCGGUCCUAGCGGAGCUGACACUGACUGGAGGUUCUUACCAGCUAUGUUUGCCAUACUGUCUUUAUUGAUGGAAUCACUUAUGUAUGUGCUACAGACAAUGCUUUGGAUUCUGUGACACCAUCUGCAUUUCUUAAAAACGAUUCUGCUAGACUUUGCUUCAAAUGAAUGUUUGUUCUAUAAUUCUCCAGUUAAAAUGAUCUAUAUAGGUUAAAUAGUUCCAUUAAUUUCUCCAGAUUAGUGAUACUUUUACAAGAAAUCCUUUGAUGUCACAAGAACAUUUUUCUCCUUCAAAUGCAUUUGCUGCAGAUUUUCAACAAGUGUUAGGAAAGUAAAUGGUAUGUAACCUCAAAC